Molecule: long non-coding RNA, 1321 nt
Organism: Pimephales promelas (fathead minnow)
Lineage: Eukaryota; Metazoa; Chordata; Actinopteri; Cypriniformes; Leuciscidae
Source: RefSeq, a predicted model, not a curated record
AAGCCUGCAGCAGAGUCACAAGAAUCCCAAACAUUCAAUUCAAAUCUUUAACAAGUCAGAAGCUUUAAGAGAAUAAACAACUUAAAAUCAAUAUUUCAUGUCUAGAUAUUUUUAUUUGGGGUAGCCAUGCCAUAAGCAAAAAAGAUUUCAACAGCUGCGAGAGAACACCCCCAAAAAUUGCUCUAUAUUUUCAUAUUUCCCAUUUAUUUCCUAUUGUGGUCAUUUUUGACCGUGAACAAUCAAAAGUGUGAUUUUUUUUUUUUUUUCUAAAACCCAUUUAACCUUUUUGAAUCAUAUCCAUGUUUUUUGCAUCCGUGUGUGUGUGUUCACAUAGCAAGUGUCACAAAAUCAUAUUAGUAUUUAAAAUAUUAAUUUAAUUUAUUAAUAUUUAGUACAAAAAUUAAACAAUUCAAAAUGCAAAACUUCUGUCUAAAAUGCUAGUAUAGAUGGUUAAAGGAUUUAUAAAAUGGAAUGCAAUAUCAACACGUCCCUCUCGAGGCUCUUAUGCAAGAACAUGAAAGGUCACAAGAGUUUGCCUGUGAGGAUGUUUUUCAGGAAUUGUACCUGGAUCAGGAAGAGUUUGCUCUUGUCCGCCAUUGACGGGCCUCUGAAGUAGCUGUAGAUCUCGGACAGUUUCACGGCAUGUCCGUCAGCACCAAACACAACACCCUCCUCACCAUGAGUGGAUAUGAUGCCCAUAAAACAGUCUUUGACCGUCUUCUCGCUCUCUGAGGAUGGAGGACAGAGAGAAGCCGAGUUUGGUGAGGAUUUUGUGAAGCCUUUGAGUGUCUUUCUUCACGCCGCUUCUCCUGCUCAGAUCUACAUCUGGAUAGAAGUUGCCCACAGACACUAUUAACGCCCUGUUCUUCAUCCUCUUGUUGGCUGUGAAAGGAUAUCUACAAAAAGACAUGAUUCUCUCUUCUGUCAGACACUGUAAUGCAGGUGUAAUGCAGUCAAAAACUGUGUGAGAAUAGGGAGAGUCUGUCUCGACAUCAUAAAACAGGAAUGGUACCUGGAUCAGGAAGAGUUUGCUCUUGUCCGCCAUUGACGGGCCUCUGAAGUAGCUGUAGAUCUCGGACAGUUUCACGGCAUGUCCGUCAGCACCAAACACAACCCCCUUCUCACCAUGAGUGGAUAUGAUGCCCAUAAAACAGUCUUUGACCGUCUUCUCGCUCUCUGAGGAUGGAGGACGGAGUUAAGAAGCCGAGUUUGGUGAGGAUUUUGUGAAGCCUUUGAGUGUCUUUCUUCACGCCGCUUCUCCUGCUCAGAUCUACAUCUGGAUAGAAGUUCCCCACAGACACUAUUAACGCCCUGUUCUUCA